Long non-coding RNA from Biomphalaria glabrata, 904 nucleotides. RefSeq lists it as uncharacterized. Lineage: Eukaryota; Metazoa; Mollusca; Gastropoda; Planorbidae. The record is from RefSeq and is a predicted model, not a curated record. The transcript is spliced from 3 exons.
CUAAAUUGAAUGAACUUGUUUAGUACCUGCUUCAUUGUAAGCCACUCUUCAUUUCUUUACCAGAGAUAACAAUUUCUUUAUCAAGGACACUGACCUGCAUAUGUCAGAAUUAAACAUGGAAACUUCUUGCUUGUUUGGGUUAGCUGGAGGACUCCACAGACCAUCUGGCAAUUAGAAGAUGCUUCCAGCACUCCUAGAUAAGACCUUUCCUAAACUGACAGUUGAGCUCAGAGGACAGAGAUCUGAUGAUAUAGAUUUUCUUUUUUAUGUCUACAUUUGUUCUAUGCAGCGAAUUUUCUUUUUGGUCUAAAAUGUGUAUUCUCUACAUAAUCUUCUUUUAUAUUUAUGCACUUCUCACACAGAUGCUUCCAGCACUCCUAGAUAAGACCUUUCCUAAACUGACAGUUGAGCUCAGAGGACAGAGAUCUGAUGAUAUAGAUUUUCUUUUUUAUGUCUACAUUUGUUCUAUGCAGCGAAUUUUCUUUUUGGUCUAAAAUGUGUAUUCUCUACAUAAUCUUCUUUUAUAUUUAUGCACUUCUCACACAGAUGCUUCCAGCACUCCUAGAUAAGACCUUUCCUAAACUGACAGUUGAGCUCAGAGGACAGAGAUCUGAUGAUAUAGAUUUUCUUUUUUAUGUCUACAUUUGUUCUAUGCAGCGAAUUUUCUUUUUGGUCUAAAAUGUGUAUUCUCUACAUAAUCUUCUUUUAUAUUUAUGCACUUCUCACACAGAUGCUUCCAGCACUCCUAGAUAAGACCUUUCCUAAACUGACAGUUGAGCUCAGAGGACAGAGAUCUGAUGAUAAUGCCAUCCUCUCUGUAAACAACUAUUCUAUGGAGAAGGUAUCUAUAGCACAGAAUCCAUAAAACAGGUUUACAUUGUGAGACGUGUGUGCAUGAGAUAAA